Molecule: long non-coding RNA, 1640 nt
Organism: Astatotilapia calliptera (eastern happy)
Lineage: Eukaryota; Metazoa; Chordata; Actinopteri; Cichliformes; Cichlidae
Source: Ensembl
AUGACUUUGGCACAUUGUGGAGACAGAGAGGAUUUAGAUCUGCUGAUGGAAAAUAAAUUGCUAAAUUGUGAUUUUGUUCAAAGACUUUUUCAGGCUAUACAGCUGCCAUCGGCCGUUGCAGUUGUAAAAACGACAGGACACAGUACAGCUGACACAGACGAAGCAACAGACUAUUUCCAAGACCAUGGUCAGCUUCCAGAGGGGCACCGCUAGUAGAAGGUGAUGUAUAUUGCAUUGUCCACUGAUGUUCACAACCUGAUAGAAAAACUGAAUAAUAACUAUCAGAAAGUUUGUCUCUCUCAGCUUUUCCCCUCCACAGUUCCACCAGUGGAGACAAGGAGAUGCAUGUUGGAGAAGCCACUAAAACCAAGGACUCUCUGGGAGGCCGCGCGUGUUCCAGCCCCCAGACUGUACUGGCAGUGACGAAGAACCAGCAUCCUCACAGACGGACAACCUCAGUGGAUUCAUGCCAGCAGGGUUAAGACCAGCCCAAUCGGACCAUCUCAGGCGUCGGAUCAAGCAGACGACAUCUCCGGCGAGCCAGCGCCCGGAACUAGAGCAAAUAAACACACACGGGUAGAUGACAUCUCCGGCGAGCCAGCGCCAGGAUCCAAUGUACACACACACAAUCACUGAUUAACACACAACGUCUGAAAGAGCAACAACAAGGUACUCAAACAUCCAGCAGGAACAGAAAGCCAAAAGUACCACAUGAUGUCUAACCUGAUAAAGCCAGACUCAUUUCAUCCUGAUAAUGGAGAAAAUGAAAUGCCCAUUGUCAUCAUACGACGCUUAUUCUAUGUCUCUCGAACCUGGGACCAGGCCAGAAGACGACUGAAGAACUGUCUUUUUUAUAUAUUUAGGUUAUUAAUCAUAUCUACUGCAUUAACCUUAGGAUUUUUAUUUACUAUUUCAUAUUGUAAAGUGCAACCCUGUUCACAUUUCUGCAAGCCACAUUUUCAAUGAUAACCCAUAUAGCUACCAGUACAGCCACUUCAAUGUAUUUGCAAUUAGCACAAAUUGAUCCUGAGGAUGUGCCAGAUGUUACCAAUGAUGUUCCUGAUGUGUAUAUUGAACAUUAGGUUGUGAACUAUUACAUUUUAUGAUUUGCUUUUUAUAUUAUGUUAUUACAUUUGUGAUUUUUCCUUUCUAUUUGAGUUAUUAUUUUUAAAAAAUAAUAAAAGAGGGGAACUGUUAGGUAUUUUAGUACCACGGUUAGCAUUUACAGAAGAUUGUUUUAUACAGAAAAGAGUUGCUCAAUAAGGCCCAUCUACUAGUUGUUUUUCUCUUUCUCUGUGACCCAAGAAUUAAUGUGAGACUCACAAGCUGGUACCUCAAGGUCGAAAACACCACAGAGAUGAGACCACUUCUUUACUCCCAUCCUCCCUUUUCCUUAUCUCCUGGAAAAGGCUCGUUAAAGGCUAGGUGGUUCGUUUCAGAAUUCACUAAUGAAAGAACUCUGUAUUUUAUGUCUAGGAGUGUAUUUUGCUGGGAUGAUCAUAAAUUGUAGCUGAGCUGAUAAACUACACACAGGAUACUUCUUUGUUCACAAGGCAGGAAGACGUUUCCUUAUUUGGUCUGUACCGGUUUGAACUGGGAAAGCUGACACACGAACCUUUUUUCAUCUAUAUAAACUGCUG